GAAGCAACCUGGUGCUAUUCCAGCCCAUCGUGAAUGUGGAAAGAGCAACCAGAGGGGCUGGUUACGCUGCGGAAUAGCUGCCUUUUCUUUGCUCCCAGUUCCUAAACUCUGCCCGUGUGUCUGGGCUUCCUCAUUCUGAUGAGGCGCCUGAGUCCUAGCAAACUGAAGGCACAGUUUUCAAAGCUGCCCUUGAGACAGGGCGGUGGCUGGGGCCGCAGGAAAUGAAGAAAACUGAUAGGCCAGGGCUCUGCAUUCCAGGCUCGGGCUUCAGGACACUUGCUUUGGAGGACAAGAACCACUUUGUAAAGACUAACCCAUGUUCCCGCAGACUGGAAGCCUCAGUGCCUAAGCUCAACCAAGCCCCGGCUGCAGCUGCAGAGACAGCUCCGCUCAGACCCGCCGUGACUUCAUGCGGGAGAUGCUGGAUAAGGUGAAACAAUGAAGAAACAGCUGGUAUGCAGCUCUGGAGAGCAGGCAGCAUUUUUUGAAAUGUGUCAUGGCCAUCGAACCAUUUUCUGUAUUGUAACAUUUACUAAAUUGUGACAGAACCGAGGAACCAAGCCUAAAGGUGACAGCCGAAGUGUUUCUCAGUCUUAGCCUCAGGUGACAGACAUUGGAGAAGCGGAUUAUUAGGAGAACCAGAACUCGAGGAGGCUCAAAAGUCCCAGAGGAAAGGGAGCUACCACUCCAGAAUUCUGUGCAGACUGUUUGCCUGGGAAGCACAUGCAGAAUUGGUAAAAGCCGAUGAGCAAAUUCAACUGAUACUCAAGUAGACCUGAAAGUAAUGACGCAAUGAAGAAUGCCAAAAUAAAACCUAAAACAGGCCAAAAAGGCCUGUGAAGAAAGGAAGAGACCAAUGAGGUUGUGCUUUGUGAAAAUGAAGAAGUUCUGCUCACUCAUAUAAUUAAAAAUAGUGAAUGUCCGAAACCGUACAGUCCCAUGGGGAAGAAUGACACUGAAUUUACAAAGGCAUCAAUUUAACAUGGACUAAAGCUCAGUCGAAUUAAAUAGACUAUUCAUGACAUGGAAGUAAUCAGCAAAAUGGAGAAAGGCCUUGCAGGCCAUAUGUCAGAAAGUUCACUGUUUUGUGUACAAGAGCAAUAGACAGAAAAACUCAGUUUAAAACUGGGCAGAGAAACCAAGUAGGUAAUUCUCCAAAGAAGACCUAAGAUUCCCCAAAUUUUAAUAUUGUCUUCAGACUGGAUUCUUUACACACUGCAGACUAAACACAGACAUCUGUUGAUUAGACUCCGCUGGUGAACUCUGGCCUGGCAAUGAACUCUGAUGGCAUUUGCCUGCAAACCCUUCGGGGUUAAGCCUGUCUCCUGGUUGACUGUGAAGUGGUUGCUCCCUCGCACAUCUAGACGACUCAGGCUUCUCGGCGCAGGCCAUGGACAUGGACACGGGCUGACUUCAGCAGCUGCCGCCUUACUGAUGUCUCCUUCCCUGCUCUCCUGCCCACGGUCCUCCAUCAGAUCCCAGCCUGGUGGCCACUCCCCUGUCACACUGCCUUGGCUGUCUACUCUCACGGAGGAAAAACGUCCCUACAUCUCUGCCAUCACGUCCAUUUUCUCUUAUUAGAUGUUGGAAGUCAUAGUUGUUGUUUCUUUGCCUCUUCUUCUGUGGAUUGUGAAUGGCUUAAAACGUCAGUCAGAAUAGGAUUCGUGCUGUUAGCUUGAGUCAGAGUAAGAAUCCGUACAGGCAGGAACCUCCCCUAUCAGUGGACUUGGGGAGUGGCAU
Molecule: long non-coding RNA, 1740 nt
Organism: Meriones unguiculatus (Mongolian gerbil)
Lineage: Eukaryota; Metazoa; Chordata; Mammalia; Rodentia; Muridae
Exons: 3
Source: RefSeq, a predicted model, not a curated record